CUUUUAUUUUUGGCCAUUAUUCAGCAUUAUUUGAGGAUCAGGUGUGCUGCAUAAGCACCAGUUUUUUGGCGAACUCUCUUGUUCAAUAAAACUCAAAUGAAUUUGAAUAUCAUUCAGAUCCCUUCAUGAAAGGUCCUGAAAUAGCUUUACAGCCUUUACUUUUACUACUUUCACCCCCAACUCCUAAUGUACCCGUUCCCUACCUCUCUUCUUUCAGCCAACCUGUAUUUUCAUGCUCAGUGCUUUUGCCCAGAUUUCGUUUUUCCCUUAACACUUUGCUCCCCAUUCUGUACCUAUCAGAACUCUCAUUUUUCAGUGGCCUGUGCCAUGAAGACAUCCUUGGUUUUCCUCAGGGACAAUUAUUCCUAAUUUUGUCUGUGCUC
This 383-nucleotide long non-coding RNA is filed under the name Homo sapiens (human). RNAcentral describes it as "HSALNT0163501". Lineage: Eukaryota; Metazoa; Chordata; Mammalia; Primates; Hominidae. The record is from RNAcentral.